CUGGGCCAAAUACUUCCAAACUUUAAUUGAAUGUUCCUUAGGGUAUCUAGUUUGUAAAUUGUAUCCGAAGUUAUGAUCUAUCAACAAACAUGGUCGCCAUUGCUAAAAAUAGAACAUAGGGGUCAAAUGCAGUUUUUGGCUUAUAACUCAAAAACCAAAGCAUUUAGAGCAAAUCUGACAGGGGUAAUAUUGUUUAUCAGGUCAAGAUCUAUCUGCCCUGAAAUUUUCAGAUGAAUCAGAC
Molecule: long non-coding RNA, 241 nt
Filed under: Mytilus galloprovincialis (Mediterranean mussel)
Lineage: Eukaryota; Metazoa; Mollusca; Bivalvia; Mytilida; Mytilidae
Source: RNAcentral